Molecule: ribosomal RNA, 438 nt
Filed under: Wanzia fako
Lineage: Eukaryota; Metazoa; Arthropoda; Arachnida; Araneae; Cyatholipidae
Description: partial 16S ribosomal RNA
Rfam family: Bacterial large subunit ribosomal RNA
Source: RNAcentral
UUCUUAUAGAAAUAAUUAUAAGUAAAGCCUGCCCAAUGUUUAAAUAAAUAGCCGCAAUUAAUUGUGCUAAGGUAGCAUAAUCAUUAGUCCUCUAAUUUAGGGCUAGAAUGAACGGCUUCACAUUUUUAUAACUAUUUCCAUAUUUUCAUUCUAAAUUUUAUUAUAAAUUAAAAUAUUUAUAUGAAUAUAAAAGACGAAAAGACCCUAUUAAAUUUUUACUAAAGUUUAGCUGGGGCAGCUAAUUAAUUAUUAUUUUAAUUAUAUAUUAUAUAAUCCCCCUAUAUUAUAGAUUGAAUCAAAUUACUAUAGGGAUAACAGCGUAAUUUCUUUUAUAAGAUCUUAUUUAAAAAGAAUAUUACGACCUCGAUGUUGAAUUAGUUUAUCUUAUAUUAGCAAAAAAAUAAAUAAGAAGGUCUGUUCGACCUAUAAAUAACCACA